GCCACGAGUAAGAGGUACAGACCUGUAAUCCCAGCUCUUUGGAGGCUUAGGCUGGCACAUCUCUUGAGCUUGGAAGUUCUGAGUUGCAGUGGGCUGAGCUAAUUGGGAAUCCUUGCAAAGUUCAGCAUUCAUACAGUGAGCUUCCAGGAGCAGGAGACCAACCAGUUGCCUAAGGAAAGGCAAACUGGCUCAGAAAGAAAAACAAGCAGGUGAGAGCUUCCAGGCUGAUCAGAGUAGAAUCAUUCUGAGUAGUAGUACAUUUCCAGCCUGGGUGACAUAGGGAGACCCAGUGUUA
RNAcentral lists this non-coding RNA (295 nucleotides) under Phascolarctos cinereus (koala). Lineage: Eukaryota; Metazoa; Chordata; Mammalia; Diprotodontia; Phascolarctidae. The record is from RNAcentral.